Aphis gossypii (cotton aphid) is the source of this 484-nucleotide long non-coding RNA. RefSeq lists it as uncharacterized. The transcript is spliced from 2 exons. The record is from RefSeq and is a predicted model, not a curated record. NCBI's taxonomy places the organism in Eukaryota, Metazoa, Arthropoda, Insecta, Hemiptera, Aphididae.
UAUAAUACAAUAAUGUAUAAUAAAUACACAAUUUCACUUAAACGCUUACACAUUGUUCGCGAUCCAGCGCAGUUAGAUUGCUUACCUGGAAAGACUGAUUGCGUUUAUGUCGAUUUAGACCAGCCACCACUGACUUAUUAAAUCUAACUAUUUUUGCAUUUUUGCGAACAAAGCAGCAAUAGACUUUAGACGUCGGAAGUCGUGUGUCAAUUGAUUUUCAGCGGCGAUUACUGACUUAAUUAGUCAGUGUUAAUUAUACACAAAAACAUACGAUGCCUGAAACUCUGAAGUAGGUGGCUUGCACUAUGAAACAUCGAUUUACGCCCUUAUGAAGACAGCUGUCCGGUCUUCACAUCCUCGCAUGCAGAUGGCCCACAGCGUUGGGAAUUUUACACAUUAUUAAUAAUUCAAAUUAAAUUAUUAAUUGCUUUAAGUUAUUCAUUUAUUUUUAUUUUUAUAUUAAAUAUACAAUAAAUUCAGUUAA